This 387-nucleotide ribosomal RNA is filed under the name uncultured bacterium. RNAcentral's name for it is "bacterial SSU rRNA". It matches the Rfam family "Bacterial small subunit ribosomal RNA", at positions 29 to 416 of the family's 1533-position model. The record is from RNAcentral.
AGUGAACGCUGGCGGCAGGCCUAACACAUGCAAGUCGAACGGUAACGGGUCCUUCGGGAUGCCGACGAGUGGCGAACGGGUGAGUAAUAUAUCGGAACGUGCCCAGUAGUGGGGGAUAACUGCUCGAAAGAGCAGCUAAUACCGCAUACGACCUGAGGGUGAAAGGGGGGGAUCGCAAGACCUCUCGCUAUUGGAGCGGCCGAUAUCAGAUUAGCUAGUUGGUGGGGUAAAGGACCUACCAAGGCAACGAUCUGUAGUUGGUCUGAGAGGACGACCAGCCACACUGGGACUGAGACACGGCCCAGACUCCUACGGGAGGCAGCAGUGGGGAAUUUUGGACAAUGGGCGCAAGCCUGAUCCAGCAAUGCCGCGUGCAGGAAGAAGGCC